GGAGCGGUAGUUCAGUUGGUUAGAAUACCGGCCUAGUCACGCCGGGGGUCGCGGGUUUCGAGUCCCGUCCGACUCCGCCA
This 80-nucleotide transfer RNA is filed under the name Vibrio metoecus. RNAcentral describes it as "tRNA-OTHER". The record is from RNAcentral. Lineage: Bacteria; Pseudomonadati; Pseudomonadota; Gammaproteobacteria; Vibrionales; Vibrionaceae.